CACAGCGCCAUGACAAGAUCCGUUUCCCUGUGUUUUAUAGGAGCGGGAAACAACGCUCGGUGUGGUGAACGUUGAUUUGUCCUGGCCGUAAAUGAGUCAGUCAGAAAGCCGCGUUAGGGCUCGAGAUGUCGCUUCAGCUGCGUCUCACACAGUGUGCAUGGCAGCUGUCCUCCGCACAAGCAGGAAUUAGGUGGUAAAGCCACAGCACUCAUUUUCUAAAGGGAAGAACACUGUAAAGUUACAGGAAAAUGAUCAGCCUGCAUUUCUUGGUGCAAGAGCAGUAGGCACCAACAGUUGGGACGAGCAGAGCAUCAAGUUGUGGCUGCACAAGCUGGGUUCUGGGUGACC
RNAcentral lists this long non-coding RNA (348 nucleotides) under Gallus gallus (chicken). Its description in RNAcentral is "long non-coding RNA NONGGAT012027". Lineage: Eukaryota; Metazoa; Chordata; Aves; Galliformes; Phasianidae. The record is from RNAcentral.